UUUCCGUAGGUGAACCUGCGGAAGGAUCAUUCAUAAUAAAGUGUUUUAUGGCACUUUUUAAAAAUCCAUAUCCACCUUGUGUGCAAUGUUAGAUCUCGUCAAUGGUGGCGAGAUUUUUAUACAUCAACUCAUUCUUUAACUAAUUUGUCUGAAAAAUAUUAUGAAUACUUAAUUCAAAAUACAACUUUCAACAACGGAUCUCUUGGCUCUC
This 211-nucleotide unclassified non-coding RNA is filed under the name plant metagenome. RNAcentral's name for it is "partial contains small subunit ribosomal RNA, internal transcribed spacer 1, and 5.8S ribosomal RNA". The record is from RNAcentral.